RNAcentral lists this ribosomal RNA (433 nucleotides) under uncultured bacterium. RNAcentral's name for it is "partial 16S ribosomal RNA". It matches the Rfam family "Bacterial small subunit ribosomal RNA", at positions 29 to 507 of the family's 1533-position model. The record is from RNAcentral.
AACGAACGCUGGCGGCAUGCCUAACACAUGCAAGUCGAACGAGACCUUCGGGUCUAGUGGCGCACGGGUGCGUAACGCGUGGGAACCUGCCCUUAGGUUCGGAAUAACUCCCCGAAAGGGGUGCUAAUGCCGGAUAAUGUAUUCGGACAAAAGAUUUAUCGCCUUUGGGUGGGCCCGCGUUGGUUUAGCUAGUUGGUAGGGUAAAAGCCUACCAAGGCGACGAUCCAUAGCUGGUCUGAGAGGAUGAUCAGCCACACUGGGACUGAGACACGGCCCAGACUCCUACGGGAGGCAGCAGUGGGGAAUAUUGGACAAUGGGCGAAAGCCUGAUCCAGCAAUGCCGCGUGAGUGAUGAAGGCCUUAGGGUUGUAAAGCUCUUUUACCCGGGAUGAUAAUGACAGUACCGGGAGAAUAAGCUCCGGCUAACUCCGUG